RNAcentral lists this ribosomal RNA (445 nucleotides) under uncultured bacterium. RNAcentral describes it as "partial 16S ribosomal RNA". It matches the Rfam family "Bacterial small subunit ribosomal RNA", at positions 354 to 796 of the family's 1533-position model. The record is from RNAcentral.
GUAGGGAAUAUUGGGCAAUGGAUGCAAGUCUGACCCAGCCAUCCCGCGUGCCGGAAGAAGGCCCUCAGGGUUGUAAACGGCUUUUGACGGUGAAGAAUCGACAGGAUGCGUCCUGUUUUGACGGUAGCCGUUGAAUAAGCACCGGCUAACUCUGUGCCAGCAGCCGCGGUAAUACAGAGGGUGCGAGCGUUGUCCGGAUUUAUUGGGUUUAAAGGGUGCGUAGGCUGGAAGGUCAGUCAGCGGUGAAAAGCUAUCGCUUAACGAUAGUCUUGCCGCAGAUACUUCCUUUCUUGGAUGAGGAGGAGGCCACUGGAACGGAUGGUGUAGCGGUGAAAUGCAUAGAUAUCAUCCAGAACACCGAUUGCGAAGGCAGGUGGCUGUACCUUAAUCGACGCUGAUGCACGAAAGCAUGGGGAGCAAACAGGAUUAGAAACCCGAGUAGUCC